GUCUAUGACCAUGCCACCCUGAACAAGCCCGAUGUCUGAUCUUGAAGCUAAGCAGGUUCGGGCCUGGUUAGUAGUUGGAUGGGAGACCACCUAGGAAGACCAGGUGCUGUAGGCA
Pteropus alecto (black flying fox) is the source of this 115-nucleotide non-coding RNA. The record is from Rfam. NCBI's taxonomy places the organism in Eukaryota, Metazoa, Chordata, Mammalia, Chiroptera, Pteropodidae.